RNAcentral lists this ribosomal RNA (377 nucleotides) under uncultured bacterium. RNAcentral describes it as "bacterial SSU rRNA". It matches the Rfam family "Bacterial small subunit ribosomal RNA", at positions 521 to 896 of the family's 1533-position model. The record is from RNAcentral.
UAAUACAGAGGGUGCGAGCGUUGUCCGGAAUCACUGGGCGUAAAGGGUGAGUAGGUGGCCUGUUAAGCGUGUGGUGAAAGCCUGGGGCUCAACCCCAGGUCUGCCGUGCGAACUGACAGGCUUGAGCAGAGUAGAGGCGAGUGGAAUUUCGGGUGUAGCGGUGGAAUGCGUAGAUAUCCGAAAGAACACCGGUGGCGAAGGCGACUCGCUGGGCUUUUGCUGACACUGAAUCACGACAGCGUGGGGAGCAAACAGGAUUAGAUACCCUGGUAGUCCACGCCGUAAACGAUGGGUACUAGGCGUCUGGGGGAGCGACCCCCUGGGUGCCGGCGCUAACGCAUGAAGUACCCCGCCUGGGGAGUACGGCCGCAAGGCUG